This 2705-nucleotide long non-coding RNA is filed under the name Pan troglodytes (chimpanzee). Its description in RNAcentral is "lncRNA (ENSPTRG00000054514.1)". The record is from RNAcentral. Lineage: Eukaryota; Metazoa; Chordata; Mammalia; Primates; Hominidae.
AUGGUGGGCUCGAUUUCAGUUGAAAUUUCCAAAAUCAUGGCCCGGAGUAAUCUGGAGGCUGAAUUUCAGAGAUUCCCGAGGGCUGCCGCGAGGGGGCGCCCAGCCCCUGCUAAACCCGAGCGCUGCGCGCUUGAGCCGUAUCUGAUCCGCAAGGCGGCGUUGCGGGGCGUUUACCGUGAGGACAGAGCUUCCUCCCCUCAGGACGCGGCUGGGGGAGGCUGCGGCCUCGGGAGACAUGGGGACACUUGGGGCCGCGUCCACAGUGAGACAAGGAGACGCUGCUGCAGCUUCGGGACACCUGGGGCCGCCCAGGCGAAGAUGAGGAAAAAGCUUCCUGUUGCCGUUGAGUGUAGCGGCGGGAGCGCGGCCGUGUUUCCCUGUCCGCCGUUUGUAGCGGGACCUCACUUUAUAUUAAUAAAAGCGUCCCCUCAUGAGGGCUUGGGCUGGUCACCCCCAGCGCAGGCCAAGAUGCAGGUUAUGGAUGUGAGUUUGUUUCUGGGGAGAGACCCUGGUACCAGGAGAGGAGACGCGGUCAGGAGGUUGGGGACGGGAAGGCGCCACAGCCUGAGGCCAAGAAAACAGGCGCCCCCGGAUCAGUGCUCGUUUUUUUUUGUUUGUUUGUUUUGAGACGGAGUCUCGCUGUGUCGCCCAGGCUGGAGUGCAGUGGUGUGGUGGAGUGGUGUGAUCUCUGCUCACUGCAAGCUCCACCUCCCGGGUUCACGCCAUUCUCCUGCCUCAGCCUCCUGAGUAGCUGAGACUGUAGUCUCAGCCACCAUGCCCGGCUAAUUUUUUUGCAUUUUUAGUAGAGACGGGGUUUCACUGUAUGAGCCGGGAUUGUCUUGAUCUCCUGACCUCAUGAUCCGCCCGCCUCGGCCUCCCAAAGUGCUGGGAUUACAGGCCGGGAGGCGGAGGUUGCAGUGAGCCGAGAUUGCACCACUGCACUGCACCCUGGGUGACAGAGCGAGACUCUGUUUUGGGGGGAAAAAAUAAACUCAUACAUGGAAAAUUCCAAAACAUUGCUGAAAUAAAUUCAAGAAAACUUUUGGCGGAAAUUCACAAGCUGAUCCUAUCAUUUAUAUGAAAUUUCAAGGGAUGCAGAAUAGCCAACAUAGUGUCAAAGAAACCAACUCAGAGGCUCACAUUUCCAAAUUUCAAAUCUUACUAGAAAGCAACAUUAACAAAAACAACAUGAUUUUGGCAUCAUCAAUGGAAUAGAUCAAUGGAACUGAAUUCUGAGUCCAGAUAAACCCAUACUCCUAUGAGCAAUUGUUUUAUUUUUUGAGGCAGGGCCUCACUCUGUCUCCCAGGCUGGAGUGCAGUGGCACAAUCAUGACUCACUACAACCUCUAUUUCCUGGGCUCAAGUGAUCCUCCCACCUCAAACCUCCCAAGUAGCUGGGACUAGAGGUGUGCACCACCACAGCUGGCUAAUUUUUUUUUAUUUUUUUCAGGUAGGGUCUUUCUCUCCUGCCCAGGCUGGCCUCAAACUCCUGGCCUCAGGUGUUAGCUACCAUGUCCAGCCUGCUGAUUUUUAAAAAUGGAAUUUCUUUUUCCUUUCUUUUUUUCUCUGGGCAUGGUUUUGCUCUGUUGCCCAGAUUGGAGUGCAAUGGUGCGAACGCAGCUUAUUGCAGCCUCAACCUCCUGGGCUCAAGCAAUCCUCCCUCCUCCGUCUCCUGAGUAACUAGGACUACAGACAUGCACCACCACACCUAGCUAAUUUUUAAGUUAUUUGUAGAGAGAGGGUUUCCCUGUGUUGCCCAGACUGGCCUGAAACUCCUGGGUUCAAAAGAUCCUCCCACCUCAGCCUCUCAAAGUGCUGGGAUUACAGGUGUGAGCCACCACCCCUAGACUGGAAUUUUUUUCAUAAUUACAUUCUCACGUUGUUUGUUUCUAGUUUCUAGAAAUAUAGCAGAUUACUGUGUAUUGAGAUUUUGUGUUGUAACUUUGCUUACUUUACUAGUUUUAAUAAUAUUUUGGGGGUUCUUAAUGAUUUUCUGUAUGUAAGAUAGAUCAUGUGAUCUGUGAGUAGACAGUUUUGCUGUCCCCUUUCACAUAUGAGUGCUCUUUACUUCUGUUUCUCUCCUAUUUGUUGUGGAUGGAACUUCCCAUACAGUGUUGAAUACAGUGAUGAAAAUGAGCAUUGAUGCCUUGGUGGUGAUCUUAGGAGUAAAGCACUGGGCCCUGACAAUGGAGAUGGUGCUGGAGGCCGAUUGUUGUGUUUAGAAAAUUCCUAUCUCAAGGUCAGGGGUCAGGGUCAGUGUUCAGGGUCAGGGGUCAGGGUCGGGUUAGGGUCGGGGUCAGGGGUCAGGGUCGGGUUAGGGUCAGGGUCAGGGUUAGGGGUUAGGGUCAGGGUCAGGGUCAGGGUUAGGGUUAGGGUUAGGGUUUAGGGUUAGGGUUAGGGCUUUGAAUAAACUUAUAUGGUAGCCAAGUUGUGGUUACAGUGGGCCUUGGGUGAGACCAAGUUCUAUGCCUACUUCAAGUGUGAACCAGCACAGUCUCAGUGGUGAUGGCCUCAGGGGUGCUUAUGUUACCCCAACUCCAGCUCCACAUGCCUCAGCACAGAAAGAGAGACUGCUGGUUUCAGAGAAAGAAAGGGAAGAGAACAAGAAUCUCUACUUGAUAAAUCAAGAGAAUUUUUCUUAAUGUUAAUCCAAGGCCACCAAAGCAGUACCUCUACGUGUUUGCUACUGUGUUUUUGGGCUUGGC